GAAAAAAAAAAAAAAGGAAAAUACAACUGUUACCAGGACUCACUGGGCCCUGCAGGAGACAAAUUGAAAGUAAAAGUUAUCUUUGGGCAGAACCAAUGGAAUACAUGUCCGUGAGAAGAAGAACUCAGUGACUUCUGAAACUUACAAAGCACAAGAUCCACUAGAACAAUGAUACAGUAUUUUGAAAUCCCUCUUUCAGCUUCAGCAAGUCUAGCAGGUUUAUUAUACAACAGGAGUUUUGGCAUCUCACCCUGGCUUGGCUCCUAUUCAGCUUACCCAUCCCCCAGAAAAAAGCAUCGAAACAUUUGACAACUGGGUGUGUCCUGAGCUUAGGGCAUGUGGCAAUGUGAAGGUCAACACAAGGGGAAACCAACUGAAUUCGAAUUUAGAGACUCCUGGUGUUCACAGCUCCAUUAGCACAUGGAGAGGGGAGUCCUUAGUCUAGACCCUUUUAGAUCCAGUGCAAUCUAUAGACCCCACAUAUUGACUACAGUUUCCUGAAGGAUCUUCACUUUUGUGGAAGUUGGAGCUUUCCCUUAGAGACCUUCAUGAUAGAUGUGAUUUAGAGAAAUUGUAUGCAAUACUUUUACCCACAAUCAAUGCCUUGAGUAACUUUCCUAAAGCAAAAAAGAUAAA
This is a long non-coding RNA of Ochotona princeps (American pika), 636 nucleotides long. RefSeq lists it as uncharacterized. NCBI's taxonomy places the organism in Eukaryota, Metazoa, Chordata, Mammalia, Lagomorpha, Ochotonidae. The transcript has 2 exons. The record is from RefSeq and is a predicted model, not a curated record.